GAUGAAGAACGUAGCGAAAUGCGAUAAGUAGUGUGAAUUGCAGAAUUCAGUGAAUCAUCGAAUCUUUGAACGCACAUUGCGCCCCUUGGUAUUCCAUGGGGCAUGCCUGUUCGAGCGUCAUCUACACCCUCAAGCUCUGCUUGGUGUUGGGCGUCUGUCCCGCCCCCGCGCGUGGACUCGCCCCAAAUCCAUUGGCAGCGUUCCUUGCCCCCUCUCGCGCAGCACAUUGCGCUUCUCGAGGGCGGCUCCGGGACGCGAUCCAGCAAGAUGACCACCGUCUUUGACCUCGGAUCAGGUAGGGAUACCCGCUGAACUUAAGCAUAUCAAUAAGCGGGGA
Molecule: unclassified non-coding RNA, 337 nt
Filed under: soil metagenome
Description: partial contains 5.8S ribosomal RNA, internal transcribed spacer 2, and large subunit ribosomal RNA
Rfam family: 5.8S ribosomal RNA (bases 1-120)
Source: RNAcentral